Molecule: long non-coding RNA, 3881 nt
Filed under: Eucalyptus grandis
Lineage: Eukaryota; Viridiplantae; Streptophyta; Magnoliopsida; Myrtales; Myrtaceae
Description: long non-coding RNA (EGRA_LNC006739)
Source: RNAcentral
UUCCCUUUCCCCCUCUCUCGGCCGAAACCCUACCCCUUCUUCUUCUUCUUCUUUUUCUUCUUCCUACUCCUCUUGCCGCCGCUCGCUGCUUAACCCACCACCACACCGCCGCCCCACGCCCUACUCACCACCACCUCUUGGCCACCGAACCACCACCACCCACCCCUCGUCCGACAAGCCAUCUCGCCGUCCGACAAGCCAGUCGCCGAGGCCGCUCGCCCGAACCCUCGCCGCUUGACGCCCGUCUCUCUCGUGCUCUACCCGUCGCCGAGGCCGCUCGCCCGAACCCUCGCCGCUCGACGCCAGUCUCUCUCGUGCUAUGCCCGUCGCCGAGGCCACUUUGCCCGUCGCCAACGCCGCUCGCCCUCGAGGCCGCCGCCGGACGCCGCAGGCCACGCCACCGCCCGCUCGACGCCAGUCGCUGGACUCGUUUAUCACGAAGCCUAAGGGUCCCUGUUCUGGAAACAUUGCGAUUUGCCCUCUCUUGAAUUCGGCAUUUGCCAGGAUCAAUCAAGGUACGGUCCUCAUCUAAUCUCGCUUUCCGUCGAUCUUAAGGCUUGCUCGGUUAUUUACCAUGACUUUGACCAUUGGUUCAGCUUUGCAUGUUAAUUAUCCUGGGUUGAAGUUUAUGGUAAGGAUUCUUUCCUGACUGAAGUUUUUUCACAUUUCAUGAAACUAUCUGUGUUAAGAGAGAACUUCAGCACCUCUAAGAUGAAGUUCUUGAAAUUUGACACCAAUGGCUUUGAGAAGAUGUUAUUUAGCGCCUUUGCAUGUCAAAGGAGACAAAGAUUGUGCUUACAUCAUUCUACCGCCCCAAUCUACGUUUUUCUGAGUUUGUUGUUUUCUUUUGUUCUAAGGAUUGGAUUAGGUUUUUUUGUGUUCAUAGGGAUAUUUAAGUGCUUGAAAACAGAAAUAUGCACCAGCAUGAUUUUUGGUAGAUUUACUCCUAAUAUGAACCUGCUGUUAACAGGUUAAGCAUAGCAGAGAACUUCUUCAUGGACUUACAAAAAGGAUUUCCAUGUUUUGAUAAAAACAUAUGGUUUGAGAAGAAAGAUCGGUGACAGCCAGCAUAUCCGAUAAUUCAAAUUUAAAAAUGAAGAAGAAAAAAAAAAAGAACCUGUUGGAACCUGGAACCGACCCUGAAACCUGUGACCGGGUAGAUUCCAGGUUCUUGGUUCUGACGGGUAGGUUCUAGGUUCCAAAUUUUUUGGAACCUGUACCCGAGAGUAGGUUCCAGGUUCCAGACGGAACCGAACCGGAACCUGGAACCGCUCACCCCUAGUUCAUACCACAAAAAGAAAAAAAUGUGGUAAUUUUAAAAAAAGAUGGUACGUUAUUAGAAAAGAAACAUUAUUAUUUUUAAUCACAAUAGAUUGGGAAGAUUAUAUGAUCCAAGCGUGAGAUCAAGGUAAUCGAAGAUGGAAUUUAGCGAGAUGUAAUAUAAUAAGUCGAAGAGUCGAACAAGGUGCUUGCACGUACCUUAGCAAGAACUGAGCAAACCAGGGACUGAUGUUAUCGCUUCAAUCUUACACUACUUGGAAAAAAUUGUGAAUUCCACCGGCUGGGGGCCUCUUGUUAUAAUGGCUAUCUACAGUGUGCUUUGGUCCACUCGUCAAUAAUUUUUACUUUUUUAAAGUGAGGAUGUACGUAAGAAGGGAUGAUUGAAAAACAUGACAGAGUUCGGGAAGUUUCAUAUCAAGCACCAAAUAUUUAUGAUAUGAUGUUAAUGACAUCGUUUGCAUAUAAAAACAAGGGUUAAUUUUAUAAAAAAUCACAAAGUGUGCUUAUUAUAACGUAAAUGCCUUGAAUUUUUUCUUUGCGUCACUGAAACCUUAAACUUGUCCAUAAUGACAUGAAUACCUCAAUUUUUUUUUUUUAAUGUUAUAAAAAUCCUUGGACUUAUAUUAAUGUGAUAAAUAUAUUCUAGAUGGAACUGAAAGAGAGAGUAUACAUGGGUUUAGGACGCAGACUUAAGUGGCAUUGUUUGAUCUGGAUAAUGUAUUUGUAAUUGUGUUAAGGGUAUCCACACGAGCAUUGGCUAAACCUUACCAACGCCCCACCGGGGUUGACGACUCACUCCAACAAAGUCAGAAUGGCCAGGGCAUCCCUUAAACACCUCAGAUCAUGUACAAUCUCUCUCUUUCUUUUCUCGGUCCGAUUUUUUUUUUUUUAUUAGCAUUUUUAGUUCUCCAUUUUCCUUUUAAUCUUUUUCUCAUGUGACGUUUGCAUUGCGCCACUUUUUCUCAAAAAAUAUUAACAAUGCCACUUUGGAUCCACGUCAGAUUUUUAACGUAGAUCUUGAACAUAAUCGUGAUGGAAGGUGUAUAUAUAUAUAAAUUUGAGAUUUUUUGUGACAUAAAGAAAGUUUAGGGCAUUAGUGUUGUAGUGAAUAUAAUUUAACGUUUAUAGAGGCAUAUUUUUUUCCUUAAUUUUUUAGUGUGCGAGAUUUUUUUAGUAAUCAAACUCCGUCUCUGACCUACGACCCAUCGUAUGCGAAAGAUUCUUAUUCCUUUGAAGUGCAUGCGAACAUGCUCUCAGGCAAAUCUCAGUCUCCACUACUUUCUGUUUCAUGCCCCGUUAUGUAGGCCUGAUGCGACCCCCCAGGUCGAGGCCAGGAAGCAAAUUGAGUUUUUCCCCCUUCCUGAAAAGCUUUAAGGAAAUUUUUAAAAAAGUAAGGGUCAUAAACGAAACAAAAGAGGAGACACCUUUUUCUCAAAUUUAAGGUUUAAUCGAGGUCGGCCGAUGUUCAAUCUAAGUAUAGCCAAAAAAACAAAGGAGUACCUUUUCCUAUCCAUGAAAUUUUCUUGUAGGGAAAGCUGCACAUAAGAAUGAGAGAAUUGUUGCAAGUGCUUCUUUGGACGUAAGUUCUUGGAAGAGAAGGAAAAAAAAAAGGAAAAAAAAUCCAAAAAGUCAUAAAAUUCUUGUACCUUGUCAAUUCAGUUAUAGAUAUUUCAAUUUUACCAGUUGAUUUUAAAUAUUUUCAUUUUUUACCAAUUGAGUUGGUCGGUUCAAUUUUGACCAAAAAUUACUGAUAUUGAUAUUGGCCGUCUUAUGCAGCAAAGCUGGCAAGGCUGGCGUUAACGUGGAUAAUUUUCAAUGAAUUUUUUGAUUUAUUCUAUUUUUUCUUUUCCUUUUCUUCCCUUCUUUUUCCUCCUCUAGCCAGUUGUAGGCCUUAGUGAUAACCGAUGACCGGCCGAAGGAAAGGAUUGACAAGCCUUGCGUGCCCUUGGCAAGGCUGCGAGGUUUGAGCCUUGCUCAAGCAUAGUAAAGCCCGACCUCUCCUCGAGGCAGUGAGGUUGAGCCUUGCUAGUGGCAAGCAAGAGGCAAGCUUUGCCAAAGGCUUGCAAGGUUAAUCUCAUUGGUCGUUAGCCAUCGCUAAGGCUCAAAUGGUUUUAUUGGUAUUUAUUUAAUUUUAAUACCAUUGUCAUUGAGUUUCCAAAAACUAAGAUGUCUCUUAUUAUUAGCAAAAUUAUUUAAGGGGAAGCCAAGUAUAAAUAUUUUGGGGAAAUGCUUGGUUCAAACUAUAGAGUGAAUGGAAAGAAAUUUCCUAGGCCCAACUCAAAGUAUGCAGGUUUGACCUAGAACUUUGCACAAUCGUUUUAUUUUUUAGACCAUGGGUAUUUAUCUGAUUUAGUAGAGAUAUAUGUAAAACUCUAACAGAUGUUGGAGCAUCCACAUAUAAGCCCCAACCUGUUCCAAAUGAGAUUUUAUCAUCAUUCCCAUGUAGAAUCUUAGCUUAUCCUUGACAAUAUCGGGAGUUGCAGAGUAUAUUGUGCUAGCGCAAUCAAAUCAUUCUGCCAGAAGCAUGGCCAAUAGAAGAUGAUUGUGUUUCUUGAGAUCAUUGUAAUUGUGUAACUCAUCCAGCAAUCAAUGUUGCUUAG